GAAGUAAAAUAAAUUUGAAAAUGUCAUAUUGAUGACUGAUAAUGGUUUAAUUUAAUUAUAAACCUUUUUAUGAAACUUAAUUUUUGAUUCCUAUUUUUGAAUGAAGUAUUGAUGCAGCGCAAGAAGAUGACAGUCUUGGAAGACUAGUCAAUGAUGACCACAUCUAUCCAAACUGCAAAAUGAAGAGGGUCAUAGCAGAGGGCAAGCCACAUCUUUGUCUUUUUGCUCUGAGAGACAUUAAGGCUGGAGAAGAAAUAACGUAUGACUAUGGAGGAUCUGAUUGGCCUUGGAGAAAACAGGUUUGUAACUCUUGAAUUGUGUGAUGUAGAUUAGUGAAUGUGCAUAUUUGCUUUCAUGAGGAGAUCGGUGAAGGAUUUGUGUUUCUUUUGUGAGAUUUAUUCUGCUACUGGUUUUUUAAUCUGAGUUUUUUUAAAUCAAAUGACAGUGAUUGCUAAUGCUAAUAAGUUUGAAGGGACAAAUACAGGAAAAAAGCCUUUUCUUCAGUACAGGGACAAUAUACUUAAGCUAAAUAACCAGAAGUGUGUUCUGCCACUCUUCAGCUUUCCUUAUUCUUAAUUACAGUAGUAUAUUAGCAGACAUCUGUGCUAAAUUGAAAAUUUAAUAAUCAAAUAUAACUGACUUUUAGUUGUAUACAGAGACUAUUUAAGUUGCAUCAUCAAUUGCAUGUUUCCUGUAUACAUGUACUUCAUAUUGUGACUGAUUCAUACAAGUGUUAAUGCUGAUAUGCUAAAUACAGAUAUUGAAUUCAUUUGUCAGGCUAAAGUGCAAGAAACUGCAUCUGAUACACUGUCAUCAGAGGAGGUUCCCCAGAGUCCUUCCCCCUCCAAGAUGCAGGCUAAAGUGCAAAAUACUGCAGCUGAUACACUGUCAUCAGAGGAGGUUCCUCAGAGCCCUUCGUUCUCCGAGAUGCAGGCUAAAACACAAGAAACUAGCGCUGAUACACUGUCAUCAGAAGAGGUUCCUCAGAGCCCUUCCCUCUCCGAGAUGCAGGCUAAAACACAAGAAACUAGCGCUGAUACACUGUCAUCAGAAGAGGUUCCUCAGAGCCCUUCCCUCUCCGAGAUGCAGGCUAAAACACAAGAAACUAGCGCUGAUACACUGUCAUCAGAGGAGGUUCCUCAGAGCCCUUUGUUCUCCGAGAUGCAGGCUAAAACACAAGAAACGGGCGCUGAUACACUGUCAUCAGAGGAGGUACCUCAGAGCCCUUCCCUCUCCCAUAUGCAGAGUUUACAAGAAGCAGGAGUCUUUCAUUCAAUGAAAACUAUAAAAUCAGAACCGCUUGUGAACUACACUGAUUCUGAUGAUGAGAGUCCAUCCAUAAGUCCUGACCAAUUGAAGUCAACAUGCCAGAUGACAAGACAACUAGAUUUGGAUGAGCACUUUGACUUUACAUCCGAUCCUAGUGGUGAGGAAUAUAUUCCUGGGACAAGUGAAGAGUCUUCUGAUAGUACAGACACAAGCAUAGCUCUCACGCCAGUUAAACAGGCAAAGAUAUUAAAACUUUGCAACCUAAAAAUGGAUGGUAACAAAGGUGAUUCACCAAAAAAUCUAAAUAAGUCCAUGAAGCAAAAGCACAACAGAGGGCGCCCACAAAAAAAAGGAAGCAACUUGGGUAGGAAACGUAAACUUCAUUCUUCAGACAGUCCUUCAACCAGUUGCUCAUCGAAAAGUAGAGGGGCAGACAAUCUAAACUCACUAAGUGAACUCAAGGACAGCCUACCUGUUUGUACCUCUUCCCCCUCUAAACAUGAAGUGAUUGAUGAUUCUGUCUUCAUACCUGGUGUAUGCAAGAAGGAAGAUGGGUCAAGAUUGUACAACAAAAAACAAUACUGUUUGUAUUGCAAGUCUGGAUAUAUAAAAAUGGCAAGGCAUUGGGAACGUGCUCAUCACAAUAAACCAGAUGUUGCACUGGCUUUGUCCUUCCCUAAAGGCUCCAAAGAAAGACGGCUACAUCUAGAGCAUGUAAGAAACAGAGGAAACUUUGCACACAAUGUUGAAGUAUUGAAUACUGGGACUGGAAAGCUUGUUUCUCGAAAACAACCAAAAAAGGACUGUUCAGGAAAAGAUUUCUUGCAUUGUGUAUAUUGUCAUGGCCUUUUCACCAAGAAAGUCCUGUGGCGACACAGGAAGAUCUGCAAGUUCAACACUGGUGUUGAACAAAAACUUGGUAAAACCCGUAUUCAGGCACUCUGUGCACUUGCUGUAAAACCGCCACCUGGUGUCAGAGAAGAGGUUUGGAAGUUGUUGAACAAGAUGGUCCAAGAUGAAGUAUAUCAUGCUGUUAAAGCUGACUCUAUGAUCAUGGAGUUUGGUGAGCAUCUUUGCAACAGAUUCGGACAUGAUGUUGCCAAACAUGAAUAUAUUCGCCAGAAAAUGAGAGAGCUCGGAAGGCUUCUAAUAUGCUCAAAGAAAAUCACUUCAUUGAAAACAAUUCAAGAACACGUCAAGCCCUCAAAUUUCAUGCAUGUCAUUAGGUCAGUAAAACAUCUAGCGGGUCAUGAUGGUGAAACCAAUACAUACAAGUGCCCAAGUCUUGCCCUCAAAAUUGGAUACACUUUAUCAAAAAUUUCAAUGCUUGUUGAAAGUCAAGCUAACGUACAGGGCAACAAGAGUGCAGCAAAAGAAGCUUGUGCUUUUCGACAAAUCUAUGAAAGCAGAUGGCAUGAAAUGAUAUCGGCUGCAUCCCUGAGAACAUUGCAGGAGUCUAAGUGGAAUUCUCCUCUUUUGCUCCCGUUUACAAAAGACGUCCAGACUCUCCAUUCUUAUUUAGAUCAGAAGCAAAAACAAUACUUGGAUGAGUUGUCCAAAGAAAGCUCCUCUCAGAUGUGGACACAGCUCACCAAGGUAACUCUGACGCAAGUCAUUCUGUUCAACCGGCGAAGAGCAGGGGAGGUGUCUCACAUGUCCUUAUCAGCAUAUUUGUGCAAAAAUCGAUCAAACCCUCAAGAAGAUAUGAAUGAGGCCCUCUCUGAUCUAGAGAAGAAGCUAUGUCAACAUUUCAGGAGAAUAGAAAUAAGAGGGAAAAGAGGAAGAAAAGUGCCUGUGCUUCUCACCCCAGCAAUGCAGACAACAAUAGAUCUGCUUGUCAGCAAGCGCAAAGAUUGUGGAGUUCUGCAGGAAAACCCUUACUUGUUUGCAAGACCAUGUGCAAUGACCUGUUACCGUGGGUCAGAUUGCCUUCGACAUUUUGCCAAGGUCUGUGGUGCAAAAACACCAGAAACUCUCACUUCUACAAAACUGCGUAAACAAACAGCAACCCUAUCUCAAGUUCUAAACCUCAGCAAUACAGAACUAGAUCAGUUAGCUGGUUUUCUUGGACAUGACAUACGAAUACACAGGCAGUUCUACAGACUUCCUGAGGGCACCCUCCAGCUUGCCAAAAUUAGCAAAGUCCUUUUGGCUCUGGAACAGGGACGCAUGACAGAAUUCAAGGGCAAAAGCCUUGAUGACAUCAUCAUUAAUCCAGAGGGUACUGUCUUUAGAUUUUUUUAA
Molecule: long non-coding RNA, 3513 nt
Organism: Betta splendens (Siamese fighting fish)
Lineage: Eukaryota; Metazoa; Chordata; Actinopteri; Anabantiformes; Osphronemidae
Source: Ensembl